GAUAAACGCUGGCGGCGUGCAUGAGACAUGCAAGUCGAACGAAGGAUCGGGCUUGCUCGAUCCUUAGUGGCGGACGGCUGAGUAACGCGUAGGUGACCUACCCCGAAGUGGGGAAUAACUGCCCGAAAGGGUGGCUAAUACCGCAUGUGGUCGCACGUUCAUUCGUGCGAGUAAAGCCGCAAGGCGCUUCGGGAGGGGCCUGCGUCCGAUUAGCUCGUUGAUGGGGUAAUGGCUUACCAAGGCGACGAUCGGUAGGUGGUCUGAGAGGACGAUCACCCAGACUGGGACUGAGACACGGCCCAGACUCCUACGGGAGGCAGCAGUCGGGAAUUUUGCUCAAUGGGGGAAACCCUGAAGCAGCAACGCCGCGUGAGGGAUGAAGGCCUUCGGGUUGUAAACCUCUUUUGUCAGGGACGAUGAUGACGGUACCUGGCGAAUAAGCCACGGCUAACUACGUG
RNAcentral lists this ribosomal RNA (458 nucleotides) under uncultured bacterium. RNAcentral describes it as "partial 16S ribosomal RNA". It matches the Rfam family "Bacterial small subunit ribosomal RNA", at positions 28 to 507 of the family's 1533-position model. The record is from RNAcentral.